Molecule: ribosomal RNA, 254 nt
Filed under: uncultured bacterium
Lineage: Bacteria
Description: partial 16S ribosomal RNA
Rfam family: Bacterial small subunit ribosomal RNA
Source: RNAcentral
UACGUAGGGUGCGAGCGUUAAUCGGAAUUACUGGGCGUAAAGCGUGCGCAGGCGGUUUUCCAAGACAGAUGUGAAAUCCCCGGGCUCAACCUGGGAAUGGCGAUGAAGACUGCAAGGCUAGAAUCUGGCAGAGGGGGGUAGAAUUCCACGUGUAGCAGUGAAAUGCGUAGAGAUGUGGAGGAACACCGAUGGCGAAGGCAGCCCCCCUGGGUCAAGAUUGACGCUCAUGCACGAAAGCGUGGGGAGCAAACAGG